Molecule: non-coding RNA, 343 nt
Filed under: Dracunculus medinensis (Guinea worm)
Lineage: Eukaryota; Metazoa; Nematoda; Chromadorea; Rhabditida; Dracunculidae
Description: Eukaryotic small subunit ribosomal RNA
Rfam family: Eukaryotic small subunit ribosomal RNA
Source: Rfam by way of RNAcentral
CGGAAUGGGUACAAUUUAAACCUGUUAACGAGGACCUAUGAGAGGGCAAGCCUGGUGCCAGCGCCGCGGUAACUCCAGCUCUCAAAGUGUAUGUCGUUAUUGCUGCGGUUAAAAAGUUCGUAGUUGGAAUCCAGCUUGACGACAUGGUCCAUUUAUUGGAUGUGAACUAUGAUCGUAGGAAAAAGUUUAAAAUAAAAUUGUAAUUCAAUUCUAUUGGGUUGCAACAAUAUGCUUAUAAAGUUCCAGUGAAUUAACAUUAAUAUAACAUUGGAAAAAAGUUUGGAAUAAAAUUAUAUAAUAUUUAUAUUAUAAAAAAUGUUGGCAAUUUGCUGCGUAUAUUCCU